CUCCUUCUGCGGUGUUCGAUGCGGAUCUGGUAGUCCCUCGACCCUAAAUCUCAGAUUGGGGUCGUCGUCUGCAGGUAGCUGUGCGCAAGACCGCGUUUAGCGGAAAGCCUGGGCUGCCGCGGCUGACCCCACCUUUCGCUCUGGUUCGAGAGCGAUGAUCUGCGACGGCACAUGCGGAAGGAGC
This 184-nucleotide non-coding RNA is filed under the name Gammaproteobacteria bacterium. RNAcentral describes it as "6S RNA". It matches the Rfam family "6S / SsrS RNA". From Rfam's summary of the family: E. coli 6S RNA was the first non coding RNA to be sequenced, but its function was unknown until recently. Lineage: Bacteria; Pseudomonadati; Pseudomonadota; Gammaproteobacteria. The record is from RNAcentral.